UUUGUAUGCAAGAGGAACUGGUGUCCUUGUAACAAGCAUAUAUAUAUAUAUGAAUCUGCGAACUUUCAAACAUUUCACAAGCUCACUACAUUGAACAUAUAUGAAUGUGAUCUGGGUCAAAAUUUACAUAUAUUGCUGAGUUUUCUGCAGAACACUCCUAACCUCGAGAAAGUUAUAUUGCAGAACUGCGAGAUUUCAGAUCAUUCGAGAAACAGGAAAAGAACACCCAAGGCAAACAGGAACCAGAUUCAUUCCAAGAGCAGAAGUCUGAUAACUUCCAAGUCUGAGAUCUCGAAGAUAAUGAAGAUGACAUAUGAAGAUGACGGUAUCAGCGACCUUAUUGAACUUUUGUUGCGCAGUUGGAGAAAACUUGAGGACCAUACUAUCAUAAUCACCAAGAUUUGA
RNAcentral lists this long non-coding RNA (405 nucleotides) under Oryza sativa Indica Group (long-grained rice). RNAcentral's name for it is "lncRNA OsPr106_04g0004280". Lineage: Eukaryota; Viridiplantae; Streptophyta; Magnoliopsida; Poales; Poaceae. RNAcentral also lists the same sequence under 1 other name. The record is from RNAcentral.